This 1479-nucleotide long non-coding RNA is filed under the name Ananas comosus (pineapple). RNAcentral's name for it is "long non-coding RNA (ACOM_LNC028046)". The record is from RNAcentral. Lineage: Eukaryota; Viridiplantae; Streptophyta; Magnoliopsida; Poales; Bromeliaceae.
UUAGUACAUAAUAACGACGCUUUACAAAGCGUCCUUAAAUUAAAAGUUUCUUGUAGUGUCAGUGAUGCGGAUCGGGCCUUUCGAGUGUACGAACGUCGUCGAUGCUACAACCACAAUUGGAGCAUAUGGCUUGAUCAACCCGAGAUAGGUCCGGUUGAAUCGAACCUACGAAUUUCUAUAAGUAUCGUAGGUUCUAGAAGGAUCUAGGGAAAUUCACUUCUUGAUUAUUUGAACUUAUCUAGUUGUUAGAAUUUUAUCUAAAAGUUGUUAAGAAAGUUGUUAAUUUGGUAGAGAUUUUAUUGUUAUGAUUUUAUCUAAAAGUUGUUAGGAAAGUUGUUAUUUUGGUAGAGAUUUUAUUAUUAGGAUUUUGUUUUGAGCUUAUCACUGUCAGGAAAAACUCUUUAAUUAUUCUAUGCAUUGGAUGAUAAAAAAAAAUUGAAGAAGAAUGUUUUUUUUUUUAAAUGAGAUGUGUUCUCUAAUUUUCCUCCGCAUUUAUGCAUCGACCGGAGUAAGUCCAUAGGGAGCGAGUCCCUUUAUCUUUAUCUUUUCCAUUCGCAAUUUCUUCUACGACUUGAAUGUUAGAAAAUUGCGUACGGUAAAAAAGGCAGCGGAAAAAGAAAUCAAACAAAUUUGAUUUUUGAAAAACUCUCGAGAUCAAAUCUCAAAAACCACGCAAUUAGGAUCCCUUAUGUUCUUUAAGAUUAAAGGAGAAAAACAAGAUCGAAUCUUUACCUUUUUCGCGGAUAGAUCUUCCUUGUUAAAUUUGAUGAUCGUGGAAUUCGGUUCUCUUGAAGCCGCACACGCGUCCGGCCUCUAUAGGUAUCCACACGAGGUUCUUGAUUUGAUCGAUGUCCUCACCGGGGUGCUAGCUCCCUUGCAAAAGGACGUCUAUUUGCUAGAAGAUGGAAGAGAGGAGAAGAGAUAUGACGGCUUGGGUUUUCUAAAAACUCCCGUAUAUUAUAUAUAGGAAUAUAAUCCUAUUCCUAAUAAUAUAAUGACAAUUAAGGAUAAGUAUAAAUCUAGAUUUAAAUUUAUCUUUUCCUUAAUUGGUUAGAUCGAUCAAAUCCUAAUUUGAUUCGACUUGAAUUUUAUAUUAAUUUGAUCUUAUCAAAUUAAUAAUGCAACAUUUGCACAUAAGUCCUCUUAUAAUUUACUAACUAUUAGUAAGUCCUCUCUUGUAACAUUUACACCUUAAUACCACUAAUUUGUAACAAUUACAAAUUAGUCCAAUUAUCAUUAUAUUGACAAUUAGGUCCUCCGACGAUUCAAUAAUCGCGAUCUAGCUAUUCGAUCAAUCACAACCUCUUAUGUGUGUGACCCCAUAGGUUCUAUUCUAUCUGGUAGUGAGAUAUAUUUUGAUCACUAUCAACAAUAUCACUGAAACUCCUUUCAGUGGAUCGGAACAAUUCCAACUCAGCCCAAUGAGAAUUAUCGAUCAUCUAGAUAAUUCUCAUGAGUCUCACAAUCCACCAGUGACGC